RNAcentral lists this ribosomal RNA (340 nucleotides) under uncultured Streptococcus sp. Its description in RNAcentral is "bacterial SSU rRNA". It matches the Rfam family "Bacterial small subunit ribosomal RNA", at positions 1043 to 1382 of the family's 1533-position model. Lineage: Bacteria; Bacillati; Bacillota; Bacilli; Lactobacillales; Streptococcaceae. The record is from RNAcentral.
GCAUGGUUGUCGUCAGCUCGUGUCGUGAGAUGUUGGGUUAAGUCCCGCAACGAGCGCAACCCCUAUUGUUAGUUGCCAUCAUUCAGUUGGGCACUCUAGCGAGACUGCCGGUAAUAAACCGGAGGAAGGUGGGGAUGACGUCAAAUCAUCAUGCCCCUUAUGACCUGGGCUACACACGUGCUACAAUGGUUGGUACAACGAGUUGCGAGUCGGUGACGGCGAGCUAAUCUCUUAAAGCCAAUCUCAGUUCGGAUUGUAGGCUGCAACUCGCCUACAUGAAGUCGGAAUCGCUAGUAAUCGCGGAUCAGCACGCCCGCGGUCGAAUACGUUCCCGGGCCUU